CGGGACGGAGUCUGAGGAGCGUCUGUUGGCUCUAAGUCGGUAGGGGGCGAUAACAGCCCUACUCCUCAUGCUUCCUCCUGGGUCUUCCUGAGGCUGAAUGAAAGCAGCAGCUUUGUGAGCAAACAUGAGGAGGCAGAAACAAGAUUGAUGUCCGGAGAUAUGAAGCCAAGGAGAUAUCAGACGUUGACAAAGCAGAACAGGAAAAUCCAGGGGGCAGAAACAAGAUCGAGAACAGGCAGGCAGGAAAGAAAAUACUACUGGAAUACUCCACUGGAAGAACCAUCAGGAGCCAAAGCAUCACCCAAAACAGGAGAAGAUACCAGUGUAACUGUGCAGGAUGAGUCUUUUAAUCCUGUACCCUGCCAGGAGUGUUACUGUGGACCCAAAAGAAACCUCACCACCAAACUCAACAUCAUCACAUGCACACCAGUUGUUUAUAACACAAGCUGCUCUGAAGGUUUUGAAUAUCAGACUACUACAGAUGAGUGCUGUGGGACGUGUGUACAGAAGAGCUGUAUUUUCACCACUUCUAAAGACCAGACAGUAAAGAUCCUUGAGGUCAGUGAAAGAGAUCUGUUUUUAUACAAUGCCAUAAAAAUAAAAAAUAGCCUUAUUAUUCGUAGCAGUAUAAAGCACUAUAUCCUUUUGUUAUAUUAUAGUGCAUCUUUUCUUCAAUACCUCAUUGUUCAUACUCAGCAGUUUUUGUGUUUCAUAAAUCUUGUAGUUUUCUUUCCCAUAGAAAGUACUCCUGGAUCAGUGCUUCUGUGUUCUUUUUGUGUCUCUGCUCUGUUCUCUCAAACCCCCAGUCAGUCGUGGCAGAUGGCCGCUCACACUGAGCCU
Long non-coding RNA from Girardinichthys multiradiatus, 840 nucleotides. RefSeq lists it as uncharacterized. The record is from RefSeq and is a predicted model, not a curated record. The transcript has 4 exons. NCBI's taxonomy places the organism in Eukaryota, Metazoa, Chordata, Actinopteri, Cyprinodontiformes, Goodeidae.